This 324-nucleotide ribosomal RNA is filed under the name uncultured eukaryote. RNAcentral's name for it is "partial 18S ribosomal RNA". It matches the Rfam family "Eukaryotic small subunit ribosomal RNA", at positions 1470 to 1796 of the family's 1831-position model. The record is from RNAcentral.
CCCUUAGAUGUUCUGGGCUGCACGCGUGCUACACUGAAGCUAUCAACACGUUUUCCCUCCCUGAGAAGGGCGGGUAACCUUUUGAAUCAGCUUCGUGGUAGGGAUCGGGGCUUGCAAUUGUUCCCCGUGAACCAGGAAUUCCUAGUAGACGCGAGUCAUAAGCUCGCAUCGAUUAAGUCCCUGCCCUUUGUACACACCGCCCGUCGCUACUACCGAUUGAACGUUUUAGUGAGGCAUUUGGACCGACGCAUCUCAGUUUAACCGCUGGUUUGUGUUGGAAAGACUUCCAAACUUGAGCGUUUAGAGGAAGUAAAAGUCGUAACA